Molecule: long non-coding RNA, 7059 nt
Filed under: Homo sapiens (human)
Lineage: Eukaryota; Metazoa; Chordata; Mammalia; Primates; Hominidae
Description: HSALNT0220054
Source: RNAcentral
GUUCCAUCUAUGACUCUCCCAUCUGCUCUUUAGCUAGAGCAAAGUGCUUUAAUCUUCAUAGAAAGUUCUAAGAUUGUGUUAGCAACCCACUUAUUUGGUUUCCUUAGAAACCAGAACACAGUAUUUAAAGUAAUGGCAUUCCUUGCUCGGAAUAGAAAUUGAGUAAGCUGAUCGUGGUGCCCCUGGUCUGCUCAGGGCUGCUUCACCUCUUCAAACACUAUUUUUCACCUGCCAAUUCAUGGUAGCAAACCUAUAAAUGGUAGCACAGGGGCAACUAUCUGGAAUACAACAUAGUGAAAGCUCUGGACCUGUAUCCACCGCCAACUUCACCCUGGCCAGCUGCAGUGGCACCUACAGUAGCCCAGUCUGUGGAAAUAUUGACAAAACAAACUGUCUCUUUUAAUUUCAGAAUUUAAAAAAUGUUUCCAUGUACUUGUAACUUUUGCAGCAAUUUAGGUUGGUUGCCACCAGCUUCCAAGAAAUCUGAACACGAAUCAAGAUGAUGAAGCUGCUCAGGCAUUUAGAAAAAAAGCAUAAAGAAAGGAAAAAGAACUUUGAAAGGAAAUCAGUACUAAAGUAUUAUUAACUAGGCAUCUGUUGUUUUGUCUGGUUAGUACAUCCAUUCUUUGGGGAACAACACUUUAUGCCUCACACACCCACCAGCGAUAUAAUCUCUUAAUUGCAACAGGAGCAGGCAGUUAAAUGACCCCGAAACCAUUGAUUAGUCUGGAAAUCAUGAAACAGUUGAUCUGUGCCGGGCCAAUGGGAUUUUUCUUUGGGAAUUUUGGACUUGGGAUUGAGAGAGCUUGGCUCAAAUGGUUUGGGGUGUCUGGCUUUUAAAAGAGGAAUCUCUAAAGUCAUUUUUGGCCAAGAAAAAGCAAAAUCUGGGUCAGGCAGUGUUGAACAGAUUUCCUUACUGUCAGACAUUUUACAGCCUCCAAUAUCCUAAUGUAUUUUGACUCUCCAUGAAGGAAGGAUUUAUUAUAUAUCAGGCUGCAUUUCCUCAACAUGUUGGACCAUGGCACACACAGUUCUCCACAUUCAGUCACAGAGCACUUUUUCUGUGCAGGAACUAUGAACAUCCUGGGGAACUAGUUUUUCAUGUAAUGUGCGACAAAAUCUAUGUUGCUUAAACUCUGAAGGUCCAGGAGGAUGAGGCACAUAAGGAAUACCUGGACUGCUGUAACUCGCAGAUUCUCAACCAGGGGCAAUUUCACCUCCAGGGGACAUUCGGCAACGUCUGGAAACAGUUUUGAUUGUCACAACUGAAGAAGGGGCUACUUGUCAUCUAGCAGGUGAAGACCAGAGAUACGCUAAGCACCUUAUGGUACACAAGAGAGCGACCCCACCCCACAAAAAAGAACUAUUUGGCCUGAAAUGUCAACAAUGGAGAGGUUGAGAGGCCCUGCACUAACUCAAUCCUGGGAGACUGCAUUAGUCCCAUAUAGGUUCAUGGCCCCAAGAAGGUGGGCAUGUAUUCAUAUGGUGAGUUAUCAAAUGCUCUUGACUUCUGUUUCUGUCACAUGUUUAUACAUUCUCUAAUGUUCCAGAGUUGGCUUAGCCAGGGACAUCCAGGUCUUCCUGAUACAAUAGGCCUUAUUUUUAAAAAGUGUUUUUUUCAACCGCCUGGGGAAGAGAAUGAAGAGAGUUUGACCUGGAGCUUCUGAUCAUGUGCCAGUACAUCCUCCCAUGUCUCCCACUUGUUUCCUCCCAUCAUGUGGGCAGGCGUGUGAGGAGCAAAAGGGCAGGGAGGCACCUCUGGCAAGGGCUGCUCAGUGAACACUCCAAGAAAAGCACAACUCAAGUGCGAACAGGAGGCCAGAGGAAUUCGGUGGUCUGGCCGUAUCACACAAUUGAAUCAAGCAAAGGUGGCGGGGACUGAGUUUUCUAAGACACUGUGACAUGGAAUCCAGCUGCCUGCCCUGCUGAGUAGCAUCUCUGAAGCAGACACAAGAAAGCCUCUGCAGGAUACUCCAGCAACCUCCCAGGGAAUGGCUGCCCUGGAACCAAGUCCCUCAGCAGAAUCACUGGACAGGGGCUUGGAAAGGGGCUUGGAAAUGCCUGAGCAGCUCCUGUAAUUCUGGAGAGAAUGGAACACAAAGCCCCCGUCUACAAAGAAGAAGCUCCCUUCUUAAGAUUACUGUUGAAAGACAUAGGGAGACUUACUAAGCCACAAACUGAGGACCCUCUAUUAUAUUUUAAUCAAAUCAGUGUUGGUUGAUGCUGAUUCUGGGCCAUGGUUGAGUUAGUGCCCUGGCAGAGUUGACAGACACACAGGCUGCCCCAUCUCACACAUGGCUGUGUACUGAGAGUUCCUAAAUUGCUUGAAACAUGGAACAUUAUCCCAGAGUAGCCAUAUUAAAGUGCUCAUUAUAUUCCCAAGCUAAGCCCUAGAAACCCUUAACCAUAACUCAUGUUGGAGCUGAAAUGAUAGGAAAAACCCACAGUUAUAGGAAACUAUGCUGCUACAAAUGCAUUUCAGCUUCAUACACUGAAAUUGUUGUUGAAUUCCCCUUGUUUCUAGGAGAAAAGUGUAUAAUUCAGGAAAAUAAGUACACAUUUCCAAUUACCUGGCCCCUUCUACUCACACAUACAAAUACACACACACACACACACACACACACACACACACACACACACACACACACACAGAGUCUUUCUCUUACCCAAACUCCCCCGCAGUGGGGCAGUGUGAGAAUCAAGGAUCAAGGUUUCCCGGUGCAAAGGCAGGUCAGCAGCACUUUCCGCUGCUGGGGUGUUGAUGUCUCAGAACAGACACUCUCCUGGCUAUGGCCUCCAGAUGCAACGACAGGGAUAAGAAAACACAGCACACUCUGCAAGUCUGUCAAGUAGAGACACAGGUCAGGCAGCAUGUUUCCCCAACACAGAGGUCCCAGGUUAGGGGAUCUUUAAUAUGGAGAGAAUCGUAAAGAUGAUUCAGUCUAAGCCCCUCAUUUACAGAUGGGGAAACUGAGGCCCAGGGAAGCAAAGGGAUCUGGCCAAGGCCACUUAGCUUUGUGGAGGCAUAUUAGGGCUGGGAUUCCAGAUCCACCAAUCCCCAGGCUGUGCUCUUGUCCCUGCAUCCUGAGACUCAGAAACUAGAAUUCCCCUCAGGCUCCUUCCAACGCCCAAUUCUACUUUUGCGAAACACAUUCUCUAAGAGAAGCUUUGUUUUCUGGCUAAAAUAGCUGUGCUUGCUGAGUUGAGGUCAUAGAACUCUUGAGGCAGAGAUUGCCAAACUUUGCCACCCCACGAUACUGCAGAUGCUGCAGUUUCUCUGCACCUGGAAUCUUCCUUCUCCCAAACGGAAAUCAGCAAUUGGCAGCACCAGCAAACACCAGCACAUGUCUCCCAUCCUCACCAUGUUUAUCUCCACUCAUUGGAAAGGAGCUGCCCCGCCUCUGGCCACCUGACCAGAAUGUUCUUAACUCUCAAGAGGAGAGAGACUGCUCUUUGUAGUUACAGCAGAAUGGUUGGGAAGUCGUUCACAAAGACAGUAAGAGCAUAGACUCCUACCUGCAGGUAAGACAUUCUUGGGGUCCAAUCUCAUCUUGAAUGAGUUAUUCAACUUGCCGUGAGCAUCAGCUUCCUCAUCUGUAAAACAGGAAUAAUAAUAUAGAGUUGUGAGGAUCAAGUGAAAUAAUGCACAGCACUUAAAACAGUGCCUGGCACAUGACAGACAUUCAAUAAAGGGUGAUUUUCAGAAUUGUACAGAAGGAAUGCCACUGUAGAAACAUGUACAAGGCACCCAGGUGGCACAUGGAGAAGGCAAGCCUUCCAAUGACAUGAGAACGGCCACGUGCCAGGCCCUGUAGUUGAUGUUUUACAUGCAUCCUCUCACUGAAUGCUCACACUCCCUCUGAGAACUGUGUUACCCACUUUUCACAGAAGAGAAAAUCAAGGCUCAGAGAGCUUCUUCCUAGGCAUAGACAGAAAUGGCAAUUUCCUUCUCAUUCUUUUAUCACCUGGCUCCCCAGAGAAAAGUCACUAAAACCAAGAAGACGUCAAGGACCUGGGGCGCCUCGUAGGUGACAUUCACUCACUUGCUCACACAUCUUCGGAUUUGUGCUGAGCCCUCUUGUGCCCGAGCCUCUGUGCUACACCCCGGGCCAGAGCAGAGAUGGCAGCUCUGGUCCUCGAGGAGCUUCUAUCCCCGUGGCUGGACAGACCUCAAAGUCUCACUACACAUCUGAUUAUUCAUUCACAGCCAUGAUAGAGAGAAAGGGAUGUGCCUGGCUUGGGACCUGAUCUGGUUCAAGAGGAUGUGAGGUUCCAUCUCCGUCUGCUCUUGCCUUCCCAACAUCUCAGUUUGUGAGGGAGAUCGGAGGGUAGAGAGGAAGAGACCAUGAGCAGAGGUAGAAGUAGUUGAGCCUGUUAUUAUUGCAUGGAGGGGAAGAAGGUCUCUUUUCAGCCCAGAGAUCACACGGCAGUGCUCUUGGGGGGGACUCCCAUUGCCACAGCUGUGAUGAAUGCUGACCUUGGCCAGGCAAUGCCUCUCACACCCACAGCCAAGGAGGGUGUGGAACUGACAAGAUGCCGAGUGUAUAGCUUCUACUGCUGUCAUUGGUGGCAUUGUUGAGAAUAUCCUUUACAUCUGAUUUACAUGGCAGGUUCUAGUCUACCCAGCACUUUUGACAUCCACCAUUUCAUUUUAUUUGUUGUGCAUAAUAUUUAUAUACAAUAUUUAUAUACAGUGGGGGUGGGUGGGCCAGGAGAGACUGGGAAUUACUUCUCAUUACUGCUACUCCUCACUGUAGCUCAAUUUUCUACCCUCUGAGGUAAACAAGGUAGGUAUUAUCAGCCCCAUUUUACAGAUAAGGAAACUGAGGCUGUGAGCAUUUAAGUUACUGGCCCGAGGUCACAGAGGUCAUUUGCUUCCGAGCCAGGGAUUUGGUCAGUAGGGUCCUCACGUUGACAUGCAGUGAUGCCACAUGUUGGUCCCUUGUCAGACUCUGCCCAAGUUUCACCCUGUGACAAAGAGCCUCUUAGCUCCACAUUCUUUACCAGGUAGAAUAAGGCUGUGUCCUGAGGAAAUAAGGUCCUCAUGGCAGGUCUGGACUGCUCUUCUUCCCUAUGUUCUAGUGACACUCCUCCCUCCCCACUUUGGCUCCUGUUAUGAACUGAAUUGUGUCCCCUGCCUCCAUUCAUAUGUUUAAGCUCCCACCUCCAAUGUAACUGUAUGUGGAAAUAGGCCCUUCAAGGAGAUAAUUAAGAUUAAAUGAGGUCAUAAGGAUGGAGCCCUAAUAUGACAGGACCGGUGUCCUUAUAAGAGAAGGAGACACCAGAAUUCUCUCUCUCUAAGCAUGCUCAGAAGAAAGGUCAUGUGAGGACACAGCCAGAAGGCAGCCAUCUGCAAGCCAGGAAGAGAGGCCUCACCAGGAACCAACGCUGGCACCUUGAUCUUGGACUCCAGCCUCCAGAACAGUGAGAAAAUGAAUUUCUGUGAUUAAAGCCACCCAGCCUGUGUCACUUUGUCAUGGAAGUCUGAGCAGACUAAUAUAGCUACUAUGUCCUAAAUCUCCACCCUCCACCUUCACCUAAAGGCAUUGAGCACAGGUAUUUUACCCAAGACUUUCUUUCCGGGGUUCUCCUCAAUUAACUGCUUAAAUUAAUCUCUCUUGCAGUGUUUAUUUUCACAAAAACUUUCAAGAGAGAUUUCCAAAGAAAUAGUUUGUGACCCUGAGAAACAGGUUUGGCUUCAUCAGUGAACAGCAUGAAUUAUGAAACUGAUCCUGUUCCCCCAUUUGACAUGUUUGCUUGGGAGCUCAGAAUUAAAUUGACAGCCUAAACUUCUAGAAAGUUUACUUGCCCUUCUGUGAAACACUUUAUAUACUGUCACCACUGCUUUCACCUUAAUUUCCUUCUUGUUUUUUUCUCAUCAGUUGCUUCUUACAUUUAUUUCAUAAGUUAAUCGAUGAAUAAUACAUUCUUGUUGUAAAUAAUGAACUCAGAAGUAUACAGAACAAAACCUGAAAGCAUUCAUUUAUUAUGUCAUAGUACUCUCUCUGUAUUUGUGUAAGUAGCCUCAAAUCCAUUUGGAACAAUAUUAGGAAUAAUCAAAUUUUUUAAAACAAAUAAAAGAUACCUUUAUCUGAAAAACAAAUAAAUAGGUACCUUUGUUUGAAAGCUUACUGCCAUGCUAGGAAUGUUCAGUAUGCUUUCUCUUUUGAUUGUCACAGCAACUCUAUAAGGCAGAUUUCAUAUGCUCAUUUCACAAACUAACACAAUUGAAUGAGGUUAAGUUAGUUGUCCAAAGUCAUAGUAAGUGGUAAAGUCAGAAUAAAACUCAGAUCAAGAGUUCAAAGUUUGUGUGUUCAAUAGCAAAGUCAUGGAAUCAACCUAAAUGCCCAUCAAUGGUGGACUGGAUAAAGAAAAUGUGGUAUAUAUACACCAUGAAAUACUACACAGCCAUAAAAAAGAACGAGAUCAGGUCCUUUGCAGCAACAUGGACGAAGCUGAAGGCCAUAAUCCUAAAAGAACCAACGCAGGAACAGAAAUAACAAAUACUGCAUGUUCUCACUUAUAAGUGGCAGCUAAACAUUGAGUACACAUGGACAUAAAGAAGGAAACAGGCCAGGCGCGCUGGCUCACGCCUGUAAUCCCAGCACUUUGGGACGCCGAGGCGGGCAGAUCACAAGGUCAGGAGAUCGAGACCAUCCUGGCUAACGCGGUGAAACCCUGUCUCUACUAAAAAUACAAAAAAAUUAGCCGGACGUGGUGGCGGGCACCUGUAGUCCCAGCUACUCUGGAGGCUGAGGCAGGCGAAUGGCGUGAACCCGGGAGGCAGAGAUUGCAGUGAGCCGAGAUAGCGCCACUGCACUCCAGCCUGGGCGACAGAGCGAGACUCCGUCUCGAAAAACAAAACAAAACAAAACAAAAAACGAAAGACACCAGGGCCUGCCUGAGGGUGGAGGGUGGGAAGCUGGGGAAGGGGUAGAAAAUUUUAAAAAACUACCUAUUGGGUGCUAUGCUUAUUACCAGGGUGAUGAAAUAAUCAGUACAGCAAACCCCAUGACAAGCAAUUUACCUAUAUAACAAACCUGCACAUGUACUCUGGAA